This 497-nucleotide ribosomal RNA is filed under the name uncultured bacterium. Its description in RNAcentral is "partial 16S ribosomal RNA". It matches the Rfam family "Bacterial small subunit ribosomal RNA", at positions 28 to 507 of the family's 1533-position model. The record is from RNAcentral.
GACGAACGCUGGCGGCGUGCCUAAUACAUGCAAGUUGAGCGAUGAAGAUUGGUGCUUGCACCAAUUUGAAGAGCAGCGAACGGGUGAGUAACGCGUGGGGAAUCUGCCUUUGAGCGGGGGACAACAUUUGGAAACGAAUGCUAAUACCGCAUAACAACUUUAAUCAUAAGUUUUAAGUUUGAAAGAUGCAAUUGCAUCACUCAAAGAUGAUCCCGCGUUGUAUUAGCUAGUUGGUGAGGUAAAGGCUCACCAAGGCGAUGAUACAUAGCCGACCUGAGAGGGUGAUCGGCCACAUUGGGACUGAGACACGGCCCAAACUCCUACGGGAGGCAGCAGUAGGGAAUCUUCGGCAAUGGACGAAAGUCUGACCGAGCAACGCCGCGUGAGUGAAGAAGGUUUUCGGAUCGUAAAACUCUGUUGGUAGAGAAGAACGUUGGUGAGAGUGGAAAGCUCAUCAAGUGACGGUAACUACCCAGAAAGGGACGGCUAACUACGUG